Long non-coding RNA from Neopsephotus bourkii (Bourke's parrot), 307 nucleotides. RefSeq lists it as uncharacterized. Lineage: Eukaryota; Metazoa; Chordata; Aves; Psittaciformes; Psittacidae. The transcript is spliced from 2 exons. The record is from RefSeq and is a predicted model, not a curated record.
CCAGCCUGGCCUUGAAUGUCUCCACGGACGAAGCAUCCACCGCCUCUCUGGGAAACCUGUGCCAGUGCUUCACCACCCUCAGUGUGGAACAGCAUUUGACUGAGAGGGAUCAAAUCCCCAUCCUCUGCUCAGCACUGGCAACAGUAAGUGGAAUGAUGAAGUUGAAACACCUAUCUUGAGACAAUCCAAUUUGGAGGUUUUGCCUCAAGCAGAUGAACAUCUUGCCGUUGUAUGGCCUUUCAGCCAGUGGUAUAUCAAGGUCAGAUGAUGCCAGGGAAUUUAAUAAAAACCAUAAAGUAUUUCUAAA